UGAAUACGAGAUGCUACGGCGUCGAAGCAGUCUAUGUCAUACUUCCAAGAAAAGCUUGCACUGUCAUAAACAAAUAAUGCCUGUACCAUAACCGACACAGGUGGGUAGGUAGAGUAUACUAAGGGGCGCGAGAUAACUCUCUCUAAGGAACUCGGCAAAAUGACUCCGUAACUUCGGGAGAAGGAGUGCCUUAUUUAUAAGGUUGCAAUAACAAGAUCCAAGCAACUGUUUACCAAAAACACAGGUCUCGGCUAAGUCGUAAGACGAUGUAUGGGGGCUGACGCCUGCCCAGUGCCAGAAGGUUAAAGAAGUUGGUUAGCAUCCGCGAAGCUGAUAACUGAAGCCCUGGUGAACGGCGGCCGUAACGAUAACGGUCCUAAGGUAGCGAAAUUCCUUGUCGGGUAAGUUCCGACCCGCACGAAAGGCGUAAUGAUUUGGAUACUGUCUCGGAGAGGGGCUCGGUGAAAUAGACUUGUCUGUGAAGAUGCGGACUACCUGCACCAGGACAGAAAGACCCUAUGAAGCUUUACUGUAACCUGAAAUUGAAAUUGGACUUUACUUGCGCAGUAUAGGUGGGAGGCGUUGAGAAUAUUCUUGCGGGAUUAUUGGAGCCAUCAGUGAGAUACCACUCUUGUAGUGUUAGAUUUCUAACUUUGUAUCAUUAUCUGGUCAAAGAACAGUUUCAGGCGGGCAGUUUGACUGGGGCGGUCGCCUCCUAAACGGUAACGGAGGCGCACAAAGGUUUCCUCUGAACGGGUAGAAAUCGUAUCUAGAGUGUAAAGGCAUAAGGAAGCUUGACUGUGAGACCUACAAGUCGAGCAGGGACGAAAGUCGGUCUUAGUGAUCUGACGGUGCUGAGUGGAAAGGCCGUCACUCAACGGAUAAAAGUUACUCUAGGAUAACAGGCUGAUCUCCCCCAAGAGUUCACAUCGACGGGGAGGUUUGGCACCUCGAUGUCGGCUCAUCGCAUCCUGGGGCGGUAGUACGUCCCAAGGGUUGGGCUGUUCGCCCAUGAAAGCGGUACGCGAGCUGGGUUCAGAACGUCGUGAGACAGUUCGGUCCAUAUCCGGUGUAGGCGUUAGAAUAUUGAGAGGAGCCUUCUUUAGUACGAGAGGACCGAGAAGGACAUACCUCUGGUGUACCAGUUAUCGUGCCAACGGUAAACGCUGGGUAGCUAUGUGUGGAGUGGAUAACCGCUGAAAGCAUCUAAGUGGGAAGCCCACCUCAAGAUAAGUAUUCUCAU
RNAcentral lists this ribosomal RNA (1243 nucleotides) under metagenome. Its description in RNAcentral is "bacterial LSU rRNA". It matches the Rfam family "Bacterial large subunit ribosomal RNA", at positions 1564 to 2817 of the family's 2925-position model. The record is from RNAcentral.